AUGAAUCGGCAAUGGAUGUACGGUAACCGACUCUCCGGCGAGUUCACUACGGGUUUGAAAGAUUUCCUCGUAGUGGCUAAUGCGAACAAGGAGGGGGGUUUUGUUAUCUGUCCAUGUGUUAUCUGUAAGAAUCAGAAGGGUUACUCUUCCUCAAGAGAUGUUCACAUGCAUCUGCUUCGGCACGGUUUCAUGCCAAGCUAUAAUUGUUGGACCAAGCAUGGAGAAAGAGGGGUUAUAAUGGAAGAAGAUGAAGAAGGGGAUGAUUUCAUCGAUGAAAGCUAUCUUGCUCAUUUCGGUGAUACUUUCAUGGAGGAUGCUGAAGGUGAAGGGGAAGGUGAAGAAGAGGCACGUGAUGAUCCCGUUGAUGAUCUUGGUCGGACCAUUGCUGAUGCACGGAGACGCUGCGAAACUGAAAAGGAGAGGGAGAAUUUGUAUCGCAUGUUAGAGGAUCACAGAAAGGAGCUGUACCCCGGAUGC
Molecule: ribosomal RNA, 477 nt
Filed under: Triticum aestivum (bread wheat)
Lineage: Eukaryota; Viridiplantae; Streptophyta; Magnoliopsida; Poales; Poaceae
Description: partial small subunit ribosomal RNA
Source: RNAcentral